Lactuca sativa (garden lettuce) is the source of this 1279-nucleotide non-coding RNA. NCBI's taxonomy places the organism in Eukaryota, Viridiplantae, Streptophyta, Magnoliopsida, Asterales, Asteraceae. The record is from RefSeq and is a predicted model, not a curated record.
UAAGGAAUCAACAUGUGAGUAGUUAAUCCUCUAAUUUAGUCAUGUAUUUAAUCAAUUUGAAGAUGAUUUUCAAUAUGAUUCACCUUCUCUCAAGAGCUUAUUGAAUUUGUUGAUUGAAAAUCAUGUGUUUCAGUUACUUGGAUAUUGAGAUGGGAGGGGAAUUCUGCAAAUCUUGUCUGUGUACUUGAUUUAACUUUGAUCAGAGGGCAUUCACGUCGUUUGAACGACAUGUGGUGCUUCCAUUAGGAAUGGAAGUUGAGGAAUUGAAACCAUGGCGUGUGCAGAAAAAUAUAUUAAUAUAUUUGGGGAUAUGUUCUUUAGUGGGUUCACUAAUGGUAAUUUCAUUGAUUAUAUAUUUUUAUUUGGUCAUAAAAAACAUUCUCUCUUAAGGAAAAAUAUAGAAAAAACAUAACGCACUUUCACCACUAUACAUUUUUUACUGUUAAAAAGGAUAAAAUUUCUGGUUACCUGAUUUUGAUUCAUUACUUUAUUGAUAUUGAUAUCAUGAUAUGGCCAUUGAGGUAUUAUUUUUUAUAAUCAUUAUAAUCAUAGUUCAGUGGCUAAGUCGAUAAAUUGGUGCAAUUGCAAGUGCUUUUCUGCAUUUUCUUCGUCUCAUUUUGUAAAGGUCAUUUGUAUAGUAGUAAAGCUUACGCUAGAAGGAAUCAGUCAGAUUUCAUACCCUCAAACUUAGAUAUUUGAUUAUUUAUUGUUGUUGUUGUGCUAUGUGUGAUUACAUGUGUUGGGCAAAAUAUGGUUUAUACUUUGCUUUUCUGGGCAAUUGUAUUUUUCUGUAAUAUUUUUGGAGUUUACGGUCAUGUUUACGGUUGAGUUUACGGUCGUAAACACCUUACGGCCCAUGUUCUCCAAGUAUAAAUAUGGGUGUUUGGGUGAGGAGUAGAGAUUUGAUGAACACGAAGAGAGUUUACGGUCUAGAGAGAAAGGAGCGUUUGUGUGUGUGAAUCUUGUGUAAGGAAUUUCAUUCAUAUAAUCAAUACAAUCAAGAUUCAUAUUAUUCUUCUUCUCCUUCUCUUCUAUUUGAUCUGACAUCAUCCGUUUGAUUGGGAUUCCGCACCAUCAAACGGAUCUGAUUGAUACACGGGCAGAUUAGGGACUUACAAUUGGUAUCAGAGCUAAGUUGUAUCAGUCAAUUUUGUCAGAUUUGGAGCAUUAUUUGAUCUUAUUUUCAAAAUAUUCUUGCGUUUUUGGAUAGAUCUCUGAAAAAUAUGGGGGGUUUGUUCUUCGUGUUUUCAUAAAAAAAAGGUUUUUGAUCGAGUUUUGG